UUGUAUCGAAUACAAAUUUUCUUUACUAAUUAUAUCCUUACCAUAGCUCGAUUUAUGUAUAUGGCCUAUAUUCUUGUAUAAUUAUAAAUACUGUAAAUAAUUUUCUGCCUAUAUUACGGUUAAUUCAGUUAGCUAAUUAGGUAUAAUCUUCAUCCAAGUCAACAAAUCCAUUUACCAUUUACACAACUUUCGGGAAAAGCACUUGAGAUUCAGAUACAGCCAUUAGUUUAACAGCUUAAAAGUCAUCACAU
This 251-nucleotide long non-coding RNA is filed under the name Olea europaea (common olive). Its description in RNAcentral is "long non-coding RNA (OEUR_LNC014741)". The record is from RNAcentral. Lineage: Eukaryota; Viridiplantae; Streptophyta; Magnoliopsida; Lamiales; Oleaceae.